Molecule: long non-coding RNA, 594 nt
Filed under: Lytechinus variegatus (green sea urchin)
Lineage: Eukaryota; Metazoa; Echinodermata; Echinoidea; Temnopleuroida; Toxopneustidae
Description: uncharacterized LOC121406454
Source: RNAcentral
AAACGGAAUUUGAGAUUUUCUGAAACGGAAAGGCAAUUUUUAGAAACAGAAAAUCACUGUCCCUAAAGAUAUAAAGAUAACACAGAAAGCAUAUAUAGUAUACUAUUUACAAAUCAUGAACUUCAUAAGGCAACAUAUUCAAUUAACUAACUAAUGCUCAAAUACUAUUACUAAAUAAUAGUUAAAUAGGUACUUAAUGGCAAACAGUGGCAGUAGUAUCUUUCAAAAUAUGUAUACAAUGUAAAAGGAAAAUAGUGUGAAGACAUCAAAAUCUGGACAUUAUGAUUUGACAGAACCGUGAUAAUUUCUUUAAUACAUUUUUGUUUCUAGAAUUAAAAAGCUGCUUCAUUUUCAAAACAUUCGGUCGACGAGCAUAAAAGGAAUUAAUCAGAGCUUUCCGAUCUGUUUCAAAAAACGGACAUUUAAAAAGAAAAUGAAACUCGUCACCUGGAUCAUUCAUUUUACACAAGGUGCACAAUUUUACUUCUUGAUCAGGAAGAUAUCGUCCCUCGCUUACAGGUAGUCUAUGGUUUCCACAUCUAAAUCUACAUAAUGCUAACCGAUCCGAAUAAUCAAGUUUGAUCAAAUAAUCCU